UACGAGGGAUGCAAGCGUUAUCCGGAAUUAUUGGGCGUAAAGCGUUUGUAGGCGGGCGAGUGUGUUUAAUGUUAAAUCUUAAAGCUCAACUUUGAAAUUGCGUUAAAAACUGCUUGUCUUGAGUAUGGUAGGGGUAAAGGGAAUUCCCAGUGUAGCGGUGAAAUGCGUAGAUAUUGGGAAGAACACUAAACAGCGAAGGCACUUUACUAGGCUAAUACUGACGCUGAGAAACGAAAGGUAAGGUAGCGAAACGGAUUAGAUACCCGUGUAGUCUUACCCGUAAACUAUGGACACUAAACGGUAAAUUUUUAAUUUACUGUUAAAGCUAACGCGCUAAGUGUCCCGCCUGGGGAGUAUGCUUGCAAAAGUGAAACUCAAAGGAAUUGACGGGGGCCCGCACAAGCGGUGGAGCAUGUGGUUUAAUUCGACGGUACACGAAGAACCUUACCAGGAUUUGACAUGCUAGAUAGUUGCUUGAAAGAGUAACGUGCCGUAAGGAAUCUAGACACAGGUGGUGCAUGGCUGUCGUCAGUUCGUGUUGUGAAAUGUUGGGUUAAGUCCCGCAACGAACGCAACCCUUGUCUUUAGUUAUUUUCUAAAGAGACUGCCUGUAAUAAACAGGAGGAAGGUAAGGAUGAGGUCAAGUCAUCAUGCCCCUUAUGUCCUGGGCUACACACGUGCUACAAUGGGAAAGACAAUGAGCUGCAAAUCUGUAAAUUUAAGCAAAUCUCUUAAACUUUCUCGUAGUUCGGAUUGUGGGCUGCAACUCGCCCACAUGAAGUUGGAAUCGCUAGUAAUCGCCAGUCAGCUAUAUGGCGGUGAAUCCGUUCCCGGGCCU
Molecule: ribosomal RNA, 838 nt
Filed under: uncultured bacterium
Lineage: Bacteria
Description: bacterial SSU rRNA
Rfam family: Bacterial small subunit ribosomal RNA
Source: RNAcentral